GACGAACGCUGGCGGCGUGCUUAACACAUGCAAGUCGAACGGUAAGGCCCUUUCGGGGGUACACGAGUGGCGAACGGGUGAGUAACACGUGGGUGAUCUGCCCUGCACUUUGGGAUAAGCCUGGGAAACUGGGUCUAAUACCGGAUAGGACUACGCGAUGCAUGUCGUGUGGUGGAAAGCUUUUGCGGUGUGGGAUGGGCCCGCGGCCUAUCAGCUUGUUGGUGGGGUGAUGGCCUACCAAGGCGACGACGGGUAGCCGGCCUGAGAGGGUGUCCGGCCACCCUGGGACUGAGAUACGGCCCAGACUCCUACGGGAGGCAGCAGUGGGGAAUAUUGCACAAUGGGCGCAAGCCUGAUGCAGCGACGCCGCGUGGGGGAUGACGGCCUUCGGGUUGUAAACCCCUUUCAGCACAGACGAAGCGUAAGUGACGGUAUGUGCAGAAGAAGCACCGGCCAACUACGUG
RNAcentral lists this ribosomal RNA (464 nucleotides) under uncultured bacterium. RNAcentral's name for it is "partial 16S ribosomal RNA". It matches the Rfam family "Bacterial small subunit ribosomal RNA", at positions 28 to 507 of the family's 1533-position model. The record is from RNAcentral.